GGAUUUUGUGAAAAGGGAAGCAUGGAAUGGAGCCGAGAAAGAUACUUCCCACAGCGAGAAAGAACAGAUGGACAUCUCUGGAAGAUUUGCAGAACAGGAAAAUUUGACACUAGAACUGAAGAAACAGAAAGAUCUUGAUAGCUGGAAGAGUAUUGAGAGGGGUACAAGAGACAGGAAGAAGGAUAGGGAUGUAGACAUUGAAGCAGAAAGACCUGAUAAACGCAGUAGGUACCAUGAAAAAGAAUCUGAGGAAGGAGGUAUUGAUGACGAAGGGAGUACGGAAAGGGAAAUAGAUGCUUUUAAUAGUGGAAUUCAGCAGCGAAAGAGGAUGCUUCGGUCAAGGGGGAGCCCUCAAAUGGGAAAUCAUGAACCUCGUUUUAGGUCCCGCAUUCAGGAUAUUGAAGGGUACGACUUCAAUUUGUUGAAUGAGAACAUGAAUUUUCAAUUAUUAUGUUGAGAUCUUUUCAUGCUUUUUUAUAAGUUUUAUAUUUAUUAGGUGUACGCAUUUAUUUUAUUGUUUAUAAUUCCCAUAUUGUUUCCAAUUUUGGUAUCUAAGAAGCUAUUAGUGAUAUGUGAUGUGUACUUGUCCAAAACAAGUGAUGUUGCGUUAUAGCAAAGGUAUGUUAAAAAACUCUAUCAGGUUUAAUUGGUUUAUGCCCAUUCUUGGUGUCAUUUUUAUUAUUAUUAUUAUUAUUUAUUUAUUUAUUAUUAUUAUUAUUAUUUUUUUUUUGCAUGUGUGAUUUGGUAAACAAUGAUCAUGUGCACUUUUUUGCCCCCCUCCCCCCGAUAUCUACAUUUCAUUGACAAUGAGAAGGGGGAAUAUAGCACAUGUAUAUAAAGCAGAUGAGAACUAUCAACCUGUGAUUUUUAUGCAAAUUUCCAUAUACUGUUUAAAGUUAAAUUUAGGAACUUUUAUCUUGUCUCCAUUUUCUUACCAAAAUUUCAAUAAGUAAUGAAUGGCAGCUGAACUGAGUAUCGUCCUGUUUCUGUUCUUGAUAUUUCUUUUAUCUUUGUCAGGUUAUGUUUGAGCCUUAUGAUAGAAUUCCAUUAAAGCAUGUUUCGAAUGUACUAUAUUUCAUUGGUACUCUGUAAAUGAUGUCAUUAAGUAUUAAUCAGGCAUAAAUCGCUGUUUUCUUAAUACAACAUGGCCUUCCAAACCAAAAUAAAAUAAAAUAAUAAUAAUAACAAAAAAAAUCUUAUAUCUCUUGCUCUUCAAAGUUUAUCUCCAUUAAAAUUCCUUUAUUUUGAAGUUUGAAUAUGGCAAUGUAUAAGUUUAUCCGGCUGACUAUGAGGAAGUUGUGGACCAUUGGCCUGGGUGACUGCAAUAGUAAUCAUCUACAUACUUCGUAUACUAUAUGCAGUUGAUACAAUGUAAAAUGUAUUCAUUGCAUUUUGUUUACUAUUUGACAAGAUACACUUUUAUUGCUACUACUUUUUCAUGCUUCUGUUUCACAUGGUUUGAGAGCCAACAAAGUAGGAAAAUGAACACUGAACAGUGUUGUGAGUCGAACUUGAAACCUUUAGUGUCAGGGUUUUAGGCUCAAUUCUUUUAACACUGUAUGAAGACCUCAUUGGUACUUCUUGUCGGGGCCCCCAAAGACAGAUGCCUUUUGGUAAUUAUACUGUGCCAUAUUAAAACGCAAUCUUUAAAUAUUUAGAGAUAGAAGCAAAGUUGUUGAGGGGAUCUAAACUUACCUUAACAUUUCAAGUAAAACCUGCACCGAGAUUAAUUAUUCUGAUACUACACAUGAUUACUGUAAACAUAGAUUUGGUUCAUGAAGUUGAGGUGAUUAAUGCUAUGAAUUUGGAUUUAGUCAAUAUCAUAAGGUUUUUUCUUUAGGACAUUGCUUGAACUUUCUUGGCACUCAUCAAAACUAGAAAGAAUUGUAGAAUAGCAAAAUAAAAAAGUCCAUUACUGUUUGCUAUCAAUCAAUACUGUAAUGGACAAAUUAUGACUUGGAAACAAAAUUCUAGAUGUGUUUUGUACAACAUAUAAAAAAGUGGGAUUUCUUCUGUUACAAAUGCGCUGGGAAAAAUAUGCAGUAUGCAUUAAAUAAGUGGGGUCCUUUUCUUUCCUCAUUGAAAAAGGACACGUAGCCUAAUCUCGAAAGAUCCACCUUAAGACAGCUGUUUCUGGAGUGAAAGUUUGUAGAGUCUGAACCACUUAAAGGGACCUAGGGUUUUCUGCUCAUUGUGACUACAACGUCCUGUUUCUCUCAGUAGCAUUAUGCACUGGCAAGUUCAUUUUCCCACUUUUAUUGAAUGCUUAAAUGGUUUUGAUUUUUGGUGUGUAUUGAAUUAUGCUCUGAAAUGGUUCUUCAUUUUGGUCUUUAAAAUUUGUCUAGAAAAUUGAUAUACACAUGCAAACUUUUUGUUUACAGUUAAACACAGGGGAGGGGGAGAGGUAGAGGGGAGAGGAGGGGAGGGGAGGGGAGGGGAGAAGUGUUGCAUUAGUGAUGCUGGUUAUAAAUUACGAUGUUAUGCCUCUAAAUGUUGUAGUGGUUUCUUAUACCCAUCACCUAAUUUUUAGAUUAACGAAAUGAAUUUUUUACUUAUUGCUUCUUGAGUUCAUUGAAUGAGUGUGUUUUGCCAUCUAAGAGCUGCUAAUCCAAAUGGAGAAAAUGUAUAAUGUUUAAUCUGAAAGUUUAUAAAUGCUUUAUGCAUGGUACGUUCUUGAUUUUUUCUACUUCUAUUUUUACAUUUUUUCCCCAUCAAACUACAGGUAUCACAGUUUAUAAAAUGAAAUGAGUAUUAAUUGGUGAUUUAUCUUAUUAAUAAGUUCUAGUGAUCCUGUGCUUUCUCUUUUCACAAAUGGAAGUCAUGUUAACAUUCACUGGAGAAUGGUUGUUACAUUUUUGAGCUACUCUGUGUCCACCCCAAAUGGCAAUACACUAACGAGCCCUCCUUGGAUACUUAGUAUCAUUUCACAUUCUGUAAAAUUGUAGCUUUCCUUUCUUCUCGUAUAUGAUAAAUAAAUUGUUGUUAUAAUCUGGAUAAUUUUGCGUAUCUUUUUAUUCACACCUGCUAUUUUAUUCUUCUAACCAGGGAACUUAAUAGAUUCUGAUUAUUGAGUAAUCCAUAUUAAUUGCUAUAUUCUGUUAUUGUAAUGUUGGAAAAAUAUUGGCUUGCUAUGUUUUCUGAUUUUCUUCUUGAUCCGUUCAGUACAAAGUUGGAUUAUAUGAUCCAUUAGAAGAAAGUUCCUUGAUUUGGGUUGAAAUGAUGGGCUUAACCAUUUUAUGUUUUAAUUUUAUGCAGGUCCCAAGGUAAGCUAUCAUUUCAUGUCCAGCAGGAACUCUUAUGUGGUAUUAUUAGACAGGAAGUUCUUCUGUUCACCUGUUUUGUAUUAGCUGAAUUUACUAUCACUGAACUUUUGUAUUAAGCUAUACACACUAUUCAUUGGUUUUGAUAUCAAUCUAUUGCUUAUGAGACAGUAAGAAUAGUUGUUCUUUAUCAGGGACAUGAGAUGUGAUGCAGAUGUCGUUUUGUCAAUAUUAUUGUGAAAUUAGAAUUAGAAUUUCUCAAAUGUGAGAAAUGUAAUCUGGAAGAAUUCAGGAUGCAAAGGUUCUGCAUAAAAAUGUUUGUUAAGAUAUAGUUUUCUAAUGCAUAUACUUCAUCUUCUUUUUAAUUCUGUGCAACUAGCUAUGUGGUUCCUGGUAACCGUUAACAUUAUUGUUCUUGCAAAGUACUUCUUGCCUUCUGGAUUAGUUAUGGUGAACAUGCUUUUUCAUUUAGCUUUGCCCUAGGGACGUGUAAUUGUUAUUUUAUUCUACACUGCCAAAUGGUCUUGUGAAAUGCUUAUUGUUGCCUUCUGGAUUAGCCAUCAGAAACCUUUCCCUGUUUGCUUCGUUGUGCGAACAUGUAAUCGUUAUUUCAUUCUUAUUUACAAUUUGUUUUCGCAAAAUGAUGCUUGUUGUCUUCUGGUUAGUUAUCAGGAACAUGCCUUUUCAGUUUGCUUUGCCCUUGGGUUAUGUAAUAAAUAUUUCAUUCUAGGUUUACCUUUUUCUGAAUAUCUACCAUGUUUUGUUAAUCCAAUCUUUAUUAAUUUCAUAUGAUUUGCUUAUAUGUUUUUGACUUCGUGAAUGAUUACUUCUUGAGGGGAUAGAAGCCAUUCACUUACACAGUUCAUUUCCACUUGAACCACUACUUUAUAAGGCAUUUCUCUCAGUGUCCACAUUUCUGCCUCUCCUUGACAAGAACUCUGAUUUCAUGUGCAUGUUGUUUUAGCUGUCUAACAUCACUUCACUGGAUUCUGAGUUCUAUUUUUAGUUGCAUUUUUUCCUUUUGAUUUAGUGUCUAGAGUAAUAUCAUACAUUUUAUGAGAAAAUCUUAAUUUCUUUGUUAAAAAGUAUAUACCAGUGUUUACUAAACUACAAUGAGUAAACUUGUGGGUAAAAUUUUUUAUGUUUGGUCUAUUUAACCCAAUCAUGUGAAAAUAUAUCUAUUUAACCCAAUCAUGUGAAAAUAUAUCUUACUUUCAUCAGCAAAAAUGGUUUGCAGGUUUUAAAACAUUUUAAAAAGUUGUUUUUAUAAUUUUUUAUCUUUCAAAUUCAGCUUGAUAAUUCAAAAAAAAUAACAACUGCUAGGAUUUUCUGUUGUAAUUCAUGUUUAAAAAAAAAAAAAAAAUUAGAAGUUGUAAUGAACUAUUCAUGCUGUGUUGAAUGUAAGUUAUUAUGUUGGAUCAUCAGGGCCACAGGAGCUGCUGACUCCACGUUUUUAGCUUCAUAAUUUUCGUUUAUUUUGUCCCAUUUUCUGUUGAAUGCUUUUCACGAAUUUUGAUUACAUGUCUGCUAGUGGAGUGGUCCUGAAAUGUCAAUAGCUCCAGUUAUUGUUUCUUUCAGUGUAACAACAAAGUAAGUUCUCAUGCCAAAGCUAUUGAAUUUCCUUCCUAGUUGGAUAUAUCAUAGUAGGGUAACAUCUUUUUGAGGAGAGUUUGCAUUGUGUUAAUAUGAUGUUAGGAAAUAUAAUUUCUGACAUCCUGUCCUCUGGACAAGAAAGAGAAAAAAAUUCCAAUGGGAUUAAGUGGUGGGCCUGGUGGCACGAUAGGCAAUACAUUCACAUGUUCCAUACUUGGCAAUAUCAAGUCUAUAAUGUUUAAGCAGGCAUUUUUUUUUAUACUAAUGUUUAAGAAGUUUAUAAUUUAUUUGAUGGUCAUUUAUCAAUUUCAAGUGGACAUUUAUGGGACAUUUGGUUUCAAAUCAGAAACAGCGUUUACUAUAUGUAGCUGUGAUAAGGAUUCUAAUAUAUUUCUGUAUUGAAUAUGUUCUUUAAGGCCAGACAGAAAUCUCAUCUCAUUGAGUUAGGCGCUCCUAAGCUUCCUAAGAGAUGGUUUUCUUGCCUUAAUUUAAAGAACAUAUAUUUAAAUAUAUGAUUUUCUCCCAUAGUGAUUAAAAAAUACACAUAAAUUUCAUAUAACUGGUCUUUGAAUCUAAAUUAGAAUAGUUUUUAUGAUAUAGAUAGAGCUACUGGUUUUCACGAAUGAUUUACUUAUUAAUUAUGCAAUCUUCAUUAUAUGAAUUUUUUAUGAUUCUGUGGUGUUACCAUACAGGUAAGGCUGAUGUGUCUUGUGUUGUUUACAAAAUUGGUGGAUGCAUGCAAGAACUGUUAAAGUUGUGGAAGGAAUUUCAAUCAUCACAAGCUGAUAAAACAUGUGAAAGCUCUCAAAAUGGUCCUACUCUUGAAAUUCGGAUACCAGCUGAAC
This 5698-nucleotide long non-coding RNA is filed under the name Olea europaea (common olive). RNAcentral describes it as "long non-coding RNA (OEUR_LNC006779)". The record is from RNAcentral. Lineage: Eukaryota; Viridiplantae; Streptophyta; Magnoliopsida; Lamiales; Oleaceae.